Long non-coding RNA from Xyrauchen texanus (razorback sucker), 302 nucleotides. RefSeq lists it as uncharacterized. The record is from RefSeq and is a predicted model, not a curated record. The transcript has 3 exons. Lineage: Eukaryota; Metazoa; Chordata; Actinopteri; Cypriniformes; Catostomidae.
GGGUGAUUCAGAUAUCCGAUGGCCGGUUGAGGAGGUGCCUAUCUCGGCGUUCGUGACAAGUAGCAUGACCACUUUUUUACUUUCUUCUUAGGUGGAAGUCGGCUACGGCUGAGAUACAGAGACCUGCUAAAGAAACGGAAGACUGAGGCAGAGGAAAAGGCAACCAACAAGGCACAAAGCAUUAAAAUAUCAAGAAAGAGGACCAGCGGUACCCCAGGAAGGCAAGGUUGACCAAGAAAAGAGCAGACCAAAUUAGAGGAGUAGGCCAUACCAGAAGAUCUCAGUCUGGUUCAGGAAACAGA